UACGGUGGGGGCUAGCGUUAUCCGGAAUUACUGGGCGUAAAGCGCACGUAGGCGGACCAGAAAGUCAGAGGUGAAAGCCCGGGGCUCAACCCCGGAACUGCCUUUGAAACUCCUGGUCUUGAGGUCGAGAGAGGUGAGUGGAAUUCCGAGUGUAGAGGUGAAAUUCGUAGAUAUUCGGAGGAACACCAGUGGCGAAGGCGGCUCACUGGCUCGAUACUGACGCUGAGGUGCGAAAGCGUGGGGAGCAAACAGG
Molecule: ribosomal RNA, 253 nt
Filed under: uncultured bacterium
Lineage: Bacteria
Description: partial 16S ribosomal RNA
Rfam family: Bacterial small subunit ribosomal RNA
Source: RNAcentral